GUUCACCAUUGCCUGUCUCAACUGUUUGCGAGUCAAAGGUUUCCCACACAACAUCUUCACCUGUCCUUGCGUAUCCACUAUCUGUGACCAAAGUAAAUUGUGCGAAUGAAUCUGGAUUUGAAUACAUGGUACUGAAAUGACUGGAACGAAAAACCACGACUAUUUCCCCUGGACCUACAAGCUCAAGAAUCUUUUUAAGACCAGCAUUCGUCAAAAAUUGCAUUGUAUAACGAUUUUCCAUAACUUUGUCAACACAUGUAGCUAUUUGAAGUGUUAGUUUGUAAAAAACAUAUAGCAAAUUAUAAGGCUAAAGUCUCUCAAGCAGUAAACUGAAGAAAGUAUGCACGACAGAUAAGUAAAAACUUACAAUUAUUUAAAAAAUCUUGCUGCUGUUCAGUUAGUGGCUCCUGCAUCUCUAAUAGAGAACGACGUUCGGCAAAUGUAUCUGCAACUUUUUCAUAAUAUUCAAGCUUUCGAAGGUAGCUUAAAUCUUCGUCGCUCAAACCCAUAUCAUCUGAAAGAAUCCAACCAUGAACUAAUCGAACUCCAAAUGUACAAAAGAUUUCAUGCCCAUACUCAAACUUUUCAAUAUCAUAGAGACAAGGAUUCAAUUGCUGACCGAAAUGCAUAGAUGUCAGUUUAUCCUGAAGACUUUGCUGAUUUUUGCAUAAGCCGUAUGCUUUAGCAAACUCCACCAAGUAUUCUGUCAGUUCAUCGGGUGUGAUGUAUCUUUUCUUCGGCAAUUCAAAUGGUCGAUCUACGUUUGACUUUAAUAUUAAUGCAUUGGACAAAGCAAUUAUAGGACACGGGCCAUUAACUGAAUACAAAGUAAGCAACUUAGAAUUUGCGGAAUAAAAGCUUGCAAUUAUGUUUAAAACGUUACAAGUCUUUAUAAGGAUUACCUGUUUGACAUAGAAUAAUUCGUUUCUGGUAUUCCCUUGAAAGGGGUUCUAUGAAAGGAAUAGUUCUUGUCUGGUAGGAAUUAGAAUGGUCCUCUUGCUUAUGGUUCUGAGUUUCAUUAUUAUGCUCUUGAGUAUCAGGAUCGUGUUCCUGAACAUUAUCCAUGGCUUGGUAAUUAACAGAACUUAGGUUUCUUAAAGAAUUCCUUUUUGAAAAUUUCAAAUUUAUAUUCAAGGAUUCCUAAAUGUGUCAUUUAAAUUAACCUUAUGAGUUAAUUUAGAGACGUUGAUCGUAAGUUGGGUAAGGAUAUAGCUUACACCACCAUAUCACAGUAAAACCAGUGUCAGUGCUAAUGAUAAAAGGUGUUUACUCAAAAUAAAU
Non-coding RNA from Schizosaccharomyces pombe (fission yeast), 1281 nucleotides. NCBI's taxonomy places the organism in Eukaryota, Fungi, Ascomycota, Schizosaccharomycetes, Schizosaccharomycetales, Schizosaccharomycetaceae. The record is from the annotation of a GenBank genome assembly.